UAGGGAAUCUUCGGCAAUGGACGAAAGUCUGACCGAGCAACGCCGCGUGAGUGAAGAAGGUUUUCGGAUCGUAAAACUCUGUUGUUAGAGAAGAACAAGGACGUUAGUAACUGAACGUCCCCUGACGGUAUCUAACCAGAAAGCCACGGCUAACUACGUGCCAGCAGCCGCGGUAAUACGUAGGUGGCAAGCGUUGUCCGGAUUUAUUGGGCGUAAAGCGAGCGCAGGCGGUUUCUUAAGUCUGAUGUGAAAGCCCCCGGCUCAACCGGGGAGGGUCCUUGGAAACUGGGAGACUUGAGUGCAGAAGAGGAGAGUGGAAUUCCAUGUGUAGCGGUUAAAUGCGUAGAUAUAUGGAGGAACACCAGUUGCGAAGGCGGCUCUCUGGUCUGUAACUGACGCUGAGGCUCGAAAGCGUGGGGAGCAAACAGG
This 429-nucleotide ribosomal RNA is filed under the name Gemmatimonadota bacterium. Its description in RNAcentral is "Gemmatimonadetes bacterium partial 16S ribosomal RNA". It matches the Rfam family "Bacterial small subunit ribosomal RNA", at positions 355 to 776 of the family's 1533-position model. Lineage: Bacteria; Pseudomonadati; Gemmatimonadota. The record is from RNAcentral.